AUGGAAAAUAGAAAUACUUUUUCUUGGGUAAAGGAACAGAUAACUCGAUCGAUUUCUACAUCAAUCAUGAUAUACGUAAUAUCUCGGACAUAUAUUUCAAAUGCAUAUCCCAUUUUUGCGCAGCAGCCCGUCGAUACUGAAGUUCCCCAAGAUGUGCUUCCUGAUACUGUAUUUGAAGUAGUUCUUCGAAUUCCUUAUGAUAUGCAAUUGAAACAAUUUGCCCGAGGAUUCGAAUUAGCGCCGCCCGAUCGUAUUUCCCCUGAGUUAAAAGAAAAGAUAGGAAAUCUUGCUUUUCAGAGUUAUCGUCCCGAUAAGAAAACAUUCUUGUGA
Molecule: ribosomal RNA, 330 nt
Filed under: Triticum aestivum (bread wheat)
Lineage: Eukaryota; Viridiplantae; Streptophyta; Magnoliopsida; Poales; Poaceae
Description: partial small subunit ribosomal RNA
Source: RNAcentral